GAUGAAGAACGUAGCGAAAUGCGAUAAGUAAUGUGAAUUGCAGAAUUCAGUGAAUCAUCGAAUCUUUGAACGCACAUUGCGCCCGCCAGUAUUCUGGCGGGCAUGCCUGUUCGAGCGUCAUUUCAACCAUCAAGCCCCCGGCUUGUGUUGGGGACCUGCGGCUGCCGCAGGCCCUGAAAACCAGUGGCGGGCUCGCUAGUCACUCCGAGCGUAGUAAUACAUCUCGCUCAGGGCGUGCUGCGGGUUCCGGCCGUUAAAAAAGCCUUAUUUACCCAAGGUUGACCUCGUAUCAGGUAGGAAGACCCGCUGAACUUAAGCAUAUCAAUAAGCGGAGGA
This 336-nucleotide unclassified non-coding RNA is filed under the name soil metagenome. Its description in RNAcentral is "partial contains 5.8S ribosomal RNA, internal transcribed spacer 2, and large subunit ribosomal RNA". The stretch from base 1 to 120 matches the Rfam family "5.8S ribosomal RNA", at positions 35 to 154 of the family's 154-position model. The record is from RNAcentral.